Molecule: ribosomal RNA, 253 nt
Filed under: uncultured bacterium
Lineage: Bacteria
Description: partial 16S ribosomal RNA
Rfam family: Bacterial small subunit ribosomal RNA
Source: RNAcentral
GACGAACCGUGCGAACGUUAUUCGGAAUUACUGGGCUUAAAGCGCGCGUAGGCGGGUUUGCAAGUCGAUUGUGAAAGCCCUGGGCUCAACCCGGGAUGUGCAGUCGAAACUGUAAAUCUUGAGUGCCUGAGAGGAUGGCGGAAUUCCCGGUGUAGUAGUGAAAUACGUAGAUAUCGGGAAGAACACCUGAGGCGAAGGCGGCUAUCUGGCGGUGCACUGACGCUGAGGCGCGAAAGCGUGGGGAGCAAACAGG